Molecule: long non-coding RNA, 1121 nt
Organism: Onychomys torridus (southern grasshopper mouse)
Lineage: Eukaryota; Metazoa; Chordata; Mammalia; Rodentia; Cricetidae
Exons: 2
Source: RefSeq, a predicted model, not a curated record
AUCUUUACGUAUCGCUUGUGCCAUCCGCUCCCAGGAUCCCGUAGCACCCUCUGAAUUUUGAGUAUCUCCUGUAUCAUCUCAGGCGUGCUGUUCUCCAUUGCGGUGACCAUGCACCUGCCGUAUCACCGCACCGUGGCUAGGUCUUGCCUUCCCCACCGUGAGCUCUUUUUGGUAUUCUGCUUGGGUCUGAUCUUAAACUUGUAAAUGGUUUCUGCUCUGUUCCCAUCUGGAUCUGUUGCUCUCCAACUCGCACCCCCCUCCAAGGAUGAAACGGAGGAAAGGAGCCGCAGCCUCUCCAGGACCAGGCGCUUCGCUGGGAGCUCUGAAGACCUGCCUCAGCCGGGGCUCACUGCCCACCCAGCCCAAGGCUGUGUGUGCACUUUCUCUGUACGCUUACACCCUUGCCUGGGGCUUUUAAGAUCCCCAGACUAUUGCUGUUCUGAGCUGGCAUUUCUUUUGUGUGCGCUCCUGAGGUUACAGGGGUCUCACUGCUUAUCCCUGGCCUGGGAACUUCAUGUGUAGACCAAGUUGGUCUUGAAUUUACAGAGAUGUGCCUGUCUCAGCUUCCUCGGAGUGCUGGAAUUAAGGGGUGCUCAUCACAUUCAUCUCCUUGAAUAAUUUCAACAUCCGCAGCUGUCCUUCAGUAUCUGCCGGGGAUUGCCCUCCCCACAACAGAGACCAGAAUCUGCAGAUGCUUAUUUGCAUUAAAUGGCACGAUAUUUGCAUAUAACCUAGGUGCAUCCUCUCAUAUAGUUUAAAUUGUCUCUAGAUUUCUGCUCCGACCCAAUACAAUGCAAUUGCUAUGUAAAUAGGGAAUAACGGCACAAAGAAGUCUGUUCAUAUUUAGUGCAGAUGCCGUAUUUUUUUAAAAGGAGUUUGGAUUAAGCGUUUGCUGAACCAUGGGUUGGAGCACACAGAUACAAAGGGUUGACUGAUUCACUGCUGGUGUGCUGGCGCACACCUGUAAUUCCAGCGUGGGAAAGGUGGCAGGAGAAGGGUGGAGAGCUUGGGGCCAGCCUUGGCUACCUGAGAUCUAGGCUGAAAACAAACAAAACGCCCAAACAAGAAAUUUGAACUUGACUUCCAUGAUUAAGAUAAAAGUAAUAAAUCUGUUCUGUUCA